UACGUAGGUGGCAAGCGUUGUCCGGAUUUACUGGGCGUAAAGGGCGUGCAGGCGGUUUGUUAAGUGCAGGGUGAAAGCUCCCGGCUCAACUGGGAGAGGUCCUUGCAUACUGGCGAACUCGAGGGAGGCAGAGGAAAGUGGAAUUCCCGGUGUAGUGGUGAUAUGCGUAGAUAUCGGGAGGAACACCUGUGGCGAAAGCGGCUCACUGGACCACAACUGACGCUGAUGCGCGAAAGCUAGGGGAGCAAACAGG
This 253-nucleotide ribosomal RNA is filed under the name uncultured bacterium. RNAcentral describes it as "partial 16S ribosomal RNA". It matches the Rfam family "Bacterial small subunit ribosomal RNA", at positions 524 to 776 of the family's 1533-position model. The record is from RNAcentral.